Molecule: small nucleolar RNA, 136 nt
Filed under: Microcebus murinus (gray mouse lemur)
Lineage: Eukaryota; Metazoa; Chordata; Mammalia; Primates; Cheirogaleidae
Description: Small nucleolar RNA SNORA42/SNORA80 family (ENSMICG00000045328.1)
Rfam family: Small nucleolar RNA SNORA42/SNORA80 family
About the family: The members of this family belong to the H/ACA class of snoRNAs that guide the sites of modification of uridines to pseudouridines. Human ACA42 (SNORA42) was cloned from HeLa cells by immunoprecipitation with anti-GAR1 antibody. Its is predicted to guide the pseudouridylation of residues U109 and U572 of 18S rRNA.
Source: Rfam by way of RNAcentral
GCAUGAGUUUGGAUUUAUGACAGGCCUGUUCUCCUGGGCCUCUUGUGGUGCCCCCUGACAGAGCAAACCAUGGCCCUGAACCAUGGCCUGGCCUCUGUGCCUGUAGGCCACUGGCACUGAAGUGGGUUGCAUGGUG